Molecule: ribosomal RNA, 498 nt
Filed under: uncultured bacterium
Lineage: Bacteria
Description: partial 16S ribosomal RNA
Rfam family: Bacterial small subunit ribosomal RNA
Source: RNAcentral
GAUGAACGCUGGCGGCGUGCCUAAUACAUGCAAGUCGAGCGAACAGACGAGGAGCUUGCUCCUCUGACGUUAGCGGCGGACGGGUGGGUAACACGUGGAUAACCUACCUAUAAGACUGGGAUAACUUCGGGAAACCGGAGCUAAUACCGGAUAAUAUAUUGAACCGCAUGGUUCAAUAGUGAAAGACGGUUUUGCUGUCACUUAUAGAUGGAUCCGCGCCGCAUUAGCUAGUUGGUAAGGUAACGGCUUACCAAGGCGACGAUGCGUAGCCGACCUGAGAGGGAUGACGGCCACACUGGGAACGGAGACCGCCCCCGGCCGCCAGGGGGAGGGAGCGGGGGGGAUUCGCCGAGAAGGGGCAAAGCCCGGAGGGACGACCGCGGGGGGGGUGAGGAGGGUCUCGGUAUCAAAAACCUUUUAAUGGAGGAAAAAAAAAAAUGAAAAUAAAUGCGCCCUGUUGGGAGGAUCCCAAAUAAAAGAGCCCCGACAACCUCCGCG